UGAUGCAGCCAUGCCGCGUGUGUGAUGAAGGCCUUAGGGUUGUAAAACACUUUCAUCGGUGAAGAUAAUGACGGUAGCCGAAGAAGAAGCCCCGGCUAACUCCGUGCCAGCAGCCGCGGUAAUACGGAGGGGGCAAGCGUUGUUCGGAAUUACUGGGCGUAAAGCGCACGUAGGCGGACUGGUCAGUUGGGGGUGAAAUCCCGAGGCUUAACCUCGGAACUGCCUUCAAUACUGCCAGUCUUGAGAUCGGAAGAGGUGAGUGGAAUUCCUAGUGUAGAGGUGAGAUUCGUAGAUAUUAGGAAGAACACCAGUGGCGAAGGCGGCUCACUGGUCCGAUACUGACGCUGAGGUGCGAAAGCGUGGGGAGCGAACAGGAUU
This 378-nucleotide ribosomal RNA is filed under the name uncultured Gammaproteobacteria bacterium. RNAcentral describes it as "bacterial SSU rRNA". It matches the Rfam family "Bacterial small subunit ribosomal RNA", at positions 384 to 779 of the family's 1533-position model. The record is from RNAcentral. Lineage: Bacteria; Pseudomonadati; Pseudomonadota; Gammaproteobacteria.